CCCUACCAGAACUGGCUAUAGAUCCAUCCCUGAUACAUGACAUCUGACAGACAACUUGAAACGAACCGCUGCUCAGUAGUGGAAUAAUGAACUUCAAUUUCUUUCAUUGCAUGAAAAUUUUUGCUAUGGGUCUGUUGGUGCAAUGGAUUUGGAUAAUAGUGUGUGACUGUGUGUCUAGUAAUAUGAAAACGUUUAUUUAAACAGGAUUGCCCCAGUCAGCUUGAACUGGACGCUGGUAUUCAUAGGAAUCGUGCAUGCAUGUUACAAUAAAAUUCAAACAUUUCA
Paramuricea clavata is the source of this 285-nucleotide non-coding RNA. NCBI's taxonomy places the organism in Eukaryota, Metazoa, Cnidaria, Anthozoa, Malacalcyonacea, Plexauridae. The record is from the annotation of a GenBank genome assembly.